AAGCUCAUUUUCUUGUGCAUAACGAAUACGCGCCUCGCCUUUUACUAGACGCGUCCGUGUAUGGGGAAUAUAAUGAGCAUUCAAUCAAUUUUUUGCAUCACUUUUUGUAUUGUUAG
Molecule: small nuclear RNA, 116 nt
Organism: Smittium culicis
Lineage: Eukaryota; Fungi; Kickxellomycota; Harpellomycetes; Harpellales; Legeriomycetaceae
Rfam family: U5 spliceosomal RNA
About the family: U5 RNA is a component of both types of known spliceosome.
Source: Rfam